Molecule: transfer RNA, 83 nt
Filed under: Microcaldota archaeon
Lineage: Archaea; Nanobdellati; Microcaldota
Description: tRNA-Ser
Rfam family: tRNA
About the family: Transfer RNA (tRNA) molecules are approximately 80 nucleotides in length.
Source: RNAcentral
GCCGAGGUCGCAUAACCCGGUAGUGCGCUAGUCUCGAAAACUAGUCCCGCAAGGGAUUGCAGGUUCAAAUCCUGCCCUCGGCG